UACGGAGGAUCCGAGCGUUAUCCGGAUUUAUUGGGUUUAAAGGGUGCAUAGGCGGCUCUUUAAGUCAGCGGUGAAAUUUUGCAGCUUAACUGUAACAGUGCCGUUGAUACUGGGGAGCUAGGAUUUGGUUGCUGUGGGUGGAAUGUGUGGUGUAGCGGUGAAAUGCUUAGAGAUCACACAGAAUAUCGAUUGCGAAGGCAGCUCACAAAGCCAAGAUUGACGCUGAGGCACGAAAGUGUGGGGAUCAAACAGGAUUA
This 257-nucleotide ribosomal RNA is filed under the name uncultured prokaryote. Its description in RNAcentral is "partial 16S ribosomal RNA". It matches the Rfam family "Bacterial small subunit ribosomal RNA", at positions 524 to 780 of the family's 1533-position model. The record is from RNAcentral.